UACGUAGGGGACUAGCGUUGUCCGGAAUCAUUGGGCGUAAAGAGCGCGUAGGCGGCCAGAUAAGUCCGGUGUGAAAGUCAAAGGCUCAACCUUUGAAUGCCGCUGGAAACUGUCUGGCUAGAGUCCGGGAGGGGCGAGUGGAAUUCCUGGUGUAGCGGUGAAAUGCGCAGAUAUCAGGAGGAACACCUGCGGUGUAGACGGCUUACUGGACCAUAACUGACGCUGAGGCACGAAAGCGUGGGUAGCAAACAGG
RNAcentral lists this ribosomal RNA (253 nucleotides) under uncultured bacterium. RNAcentral describes it as "partial 16S ribosomal RNA". It matches the Rfam family "Bacterial small subunit ribosomal RNA", at positions 524 to 776 of the family's 1533-position model. The record is from RNAcentral.